AGCAGCCGCGGUAAUUCCAGCUCCAAUAGCAUAUAUUAAAGUUGCUGCAGUUAAAAAGCUCGUAGUUGACGGAUGGGGGAGGCGGGGCGGAGAGAUUGAAAGAUUUCUUGGGCUCCGGCUGCCCUUUUGCUUGGGCGAGGGCGUGCCAUUGAGUUGGUGCGGCCUUGUACAUGCCCAAGCGGAUUACUUUGAGGAAAG
This 198-nucleotide ribosomal RNA is filed under the name uncultured Rhizophagus. RNAcentral's name for it is "partial 18S ribosomal RNA". It matches the Rfam family "Eukaryotic small subunit ribosomal RNA", at positions 569 to 766 of the family's 1831-position model. Lineage: Eukaryota; Fungi; Glomeromycota; Glomeromycetes; Glomerales; Glomeraceae. The record is from RNAcentral.